GGGUUGUGAGGUUAAGCGAAUAAGCGUACACGGUGGAUGCCUAGGCAAUCAGAGGCGAUGAAGGACGUGCUAAUCUGCGAAAAGCGUCGGUAAGGUGAUAUGAACCGUUAUACCCGACGAUAUCCGAAUGGGGAAACCCAGUAUCCAAUGGAUACUAUCAUUAACUGAAUCCAUAGGUUAAUGAGGCGAACCGGGAGAACUGAAACAUCUCAGUACCCCGAGGAAAAGAAAUCAACCGAGAUUCCCCUAGUAGCGGCGAGCGAACGGGGAGCAGCCCAGAGUCUUAAUCAAUAGCAGUGUCAGGAGAACGGUCUGGAAAGUCCGGCAGUAAAGGGUGAUAGCCCCGUAUCUGAAGAUGCUGUUAUUGUGAACUCGACGAGUAGGGCGGGACACGUGUUAUCCUGUCUGAAUAUGGGGGGACCAUCCUCCAAGGCUAAAUACUCCUGAUUGACCGAUAGUGAACCAGUACCGUGAGGGAAAGGCGAAAAGAACCCCGGCGAGGGGAGUGAAAAAGAACCUGAAACCGUGUACGUACAAGCAGUAGGAGCCUCUUUAUGGGGUGACUGCGUACCUUUUGUAUAAUGGGUCAGCGACUUAUAUUCUGUAGCAAGGUUAACCGUAUAGGGGAGCCGUAGGGAAACCGAGUCUUAACUGGGCGAAUGAGUUGCAGGGUAUAGACCCGAAACCCGGUGAUCUAUCCAUGGGCAGGUUGAAGGUUGGGUAACACUAACUGGAGGACCGAACCGACUAAUGUUGAAAAAUUAGCGGAUGACUUGUGGAUGGGGGUGAAAGGCCAAUCAAACCGGGAGAUAGCUGGUUCUCCCCGAAAGCUAUUUAGGUAGCGCCUCGUGAACUCAUCUUCGGGGGUAGAGCACUGUUUCGACUAGGGGGUCAUCCCGACUUACCAACUCGAUGCAAACUGCGAAUACCGAAGAAUGUUAUCACGGGAGACACACGGCGGGUGCUAACGUCCGUCGUGAAGAGGGAAACAACCCAGACCGCCAGCUAAGGUCCCAAAGUCAUGGUUAAGUGGGAAACGAAGUGGGAAGGCUCAGACAGCCAGGAUGUUGGCUUAGAAGCAGCCAUCAUUUAAAGAAAGCGUAAUAGCUCACUGGUCGAGUCGGCCCGCGCGGAAGAUGUAACGGGGCUAAACCAUGCACCGAAGCUGCGGCAGCGACACAUAGUGUUGUUGGGUAGGGGAGCGUUCUGUAAGCCUGCGAAGGUGUACUGUGAGGUAUGCUGGAGGUAUCAGAAGUGCGAAUGCUGACAUAAGUAACGAUAAUGCGGGUGAAAAACCCGCACGCCGGAAGACCAAGGGUUCCUGUCCAACGUUAAUCGGGGCAGGGUGAGUCGACCCCUAAGGCGAGGCUGAAAAGCGUAGUCGAUGGGAAACGGGUUAAUAUUCCCGUACUGGUGGUAACUGCGAUGGGGGAACGGAGAAGGCUAGGUUGUCCGGGCGACGGUCGUCCCGGUUCAAGCAGGUAGGCAGAGUGAUUAGGCAAAUCCGGUCACUUAAUGCUGAGAUGUGAUGACGAACCACCAAGGUGGUGAAGCAAUUGAUGCCCCGCUUCCAGGAAAAGCCUCUAAGCUUCAGGUUACCAACAAUCGUACCCCAAACCGACACAGGUGGUCAGGUAGAGAAUACUCAGGCGCUUGAGAGAACUCGGGUGAAGGAACUAGGCAAAAUGGUGCCGUAACUUCGGGAGAAGGCACGCUGGCGGUAGGUAAAGUCCCUCGCGGACGGCGCUGAAGCCAGUCGAAGAUACCAGCUGGCUGCAACUGUUUAUUAAAAACACAGCACUGUGCAAACACGAAAGUGGACGUAUACGGUGUGACGCCUGCCCGGUGCUGGAAGGUUAAUUGAUGGGGUCAGCCGUAAGGCGAAGCUCCUGAUCGAAGCCCCAGUAAACGGCGGCCGUAACUAUAACGGUCCUAAGGUAGCGAAAUUCCUUGUCGGGUAAGUUCCGACCUGCACGAAUGGCGUAAUGAUGGCCAGGCUGUCUCCACCCGAGACUCAGUGAAAUUGAACUCGCUGUGAAGAUGCAGUGUACCCGCGGCAAGACGGAAAGACCCCGUGAACCUUUACUAUAGCUUGACACUGAACAUUGAGCCUUGAUGUGUAGGAUAGGUGGGAGGCUUUGAAGUGUGGACGCCAGUCUGCAUGGAGCCAACCUUGAAAUACCACCCUUUAACGUUUGAUGUUCUAACCUAGGCCCAUAAACUGGGUCGGGGACCGUGUCUGGUGGGUAGUUUGACUGGGGCGGUCUCCUCCUAAAGAGUAACGGAGGAGCACGAAGGUUGGCUAAGCAUGGUCGGACAUCAUGCGGUUAGUGCAAAGGCAUAAGCCAGCUUGACUGCGAGAGUGACGGCUCGAGCAGGUACGAAAGUAGGUCUUAGUGAUCCGGUGGUUCUGAAUGGAAGGGCCAUCGCUCAACGGAUAAAAGGUACUCCGGGGAUAACAGGCUGAUACCGCCCAAGAGUUCAUAUCGACGGCGGUGUUUGGCACCUCGAUGUCGGCUCAUCACAUCCUGGGGCUGAAGUAGGUCCCAAGGGUAUGGCUGUUCGCCAUUUAAAGUGGUACGCGAGCUGGGUUUAGAACGUCGUGAGACAGUUCGGUCCCUAUCUGCCGUGGGCGUUGGAAGAUUGAGAGGGGUUGCUCCUAGUACGAGAGGACCGGAGUGAACGCACCACUGGUGUUCGGGUUGUCAUGCCAAUGGCAUUGCCCGGUAGCUAAGUGCGGAAGAGAUAACCGCUGAAAGCAUCUAAGCGGGAAACUUGCCUCGAGAUGAGUCUUCCCUGUCGCUUUAAGCGACCUAAAGGAACGUUUAAGACUAAGACGUUGAUAGGCUGGGUGUGUAAGCGUAGCGAUACGUUGAGCUAACCAGUACUAAUGAACCGUGAGGCUUAACCUGACAACACCGAAAGUGUUUUG
Molecule: ribosomal RNA, 2932 nt
Filed under: Proteus mirabilis
Lineage: Bacteria; Pseudomonadati; Pseudomonadota; Gammaproteobacteria; Enterobacterales; Morganellaceae
Description: bacterial LSU rRNA
Rfam family: Bacterial large subunit ribosomal RNA
Source: RNAcentral